This 265-nucleotide unclassified non-coding RNA is filed under the name Hevea brasiliensis (rubber tree). Lineage: Eukaryota; Viridiplantae; Streptophyta; Magnoliopsida; Malpighiales; Euphorbiaceae. The record is from RNAcentral.
AAGGAAGCAAGUUCCAGCCAAGAAAGUAUCCUCCAUGUGGCAUAUGUAAGAAAACCAACCAUGAAGAAAAAGAUUGUUGGCACAAGGGAAAGCCACAAUGCUUCAAAUGUAAAAGGUUUGGGUUUGAGCAAAAGGCUUAUAGAUUCAAGGAAGAGAACACAUCAAACACAUCAAAUGUCGCACAUGAAAAAGAAGAAGAAGAAUUUAUUGUUUCACUAGUGAGAAGUGCACUAGAAAAACUGAAAAAUGGUGAGAAGUGCACCAG